This 1522-nucleotide ribosomal RNA is filed under the name uncultured Enterococcus sp. Its description in RNAcentral is "bacterial SSU rRNA". It matches the Rfam family "Bacterial small subunit ribosomal RNA". The record is from RNAcentral. Lineage: Bacteria; Bacillati; Bacillota; Bacilli; Lactobacillales; Enterococcaceae.
AGAGUUUGAUCCUGGCUCAGGACGAACGCUGGCGGCGUGCCUAAUACAUGCAAGUCGAACGCUUCUUUUCCCACCGGAGCUUGCUCCACCGGGAAAAGAGGAGUGGCGAACGGGUGAGUAACACGUGGGUAACCUGCCCAUCAGAAGGGGAUAACACUUGGAAACAGGUGCUAAUACCGUAUAAUAAUCGAAACCGCAUGGUUUCGUUUUGAAAGGCGCUUUACGGUGCCGCUGAUGGAUGGACCCGCGGUGCAUUAGCUAGUUGGUGAGGUAACGGCUCACCAAGGCCACGAUGCAUAGCCGACCUGAGAGGGUGAUCGGCCACAUUGGGACUGAGACACGGCCCAAACUCCUACGGGAGGCAGCAGUAGGGAAUCUUCGGCAAUGGACGAAAGUCUGACCGAGCAACGCCGCGUGAGUGAAGAAGGUUUUCGGAUCGUAAAACUCUGUUGUUAGAGAAGAACAAGGGUGAGAGUAACUGUUCACCCCUUGACGGUAUCUAACCAGAAAGCCACGGCUAACUACGUGCCAGCAGCCGCGGUAAUACGUAGGUGGCAAGCGUUGUCCGGAUUUAUUGGGCGUAAAGCGAGCGCAGGCGGUUUCUUAAGUCUGAUGUGAAAGCCCCCGGCUCAACCGGGGAGGGUCAUUGGAAACUGGGAGACUUGAGUGCAGAAGAGGAGAGUGGAAUUCCAUGUGUAGCGGUGAAAUGCGUAGAUAUAUGGAGGAACACCAGUGGCGAAGGCGGCUCUCUGGUCUGUAACUGACGCUGAGGCUCGAAAGCGUGGGGAGCAAACAGGAUUAGAUACCCUGGUAGUCCACGCCGUAAACGAUGAGUGCUAAGUGUUGGAGGGUUUCCGCCCUUCAGUGCUGCAGCUAACGCAUUAAGCACUCCGCCUGGGGAGUACGACCGCAAGGUUGAAACUCAAAGGAAUUGACGGGGGCCCGCACAAGCGGUGGAGCAUGUGGUUUAAUUCGAAGCAACGCGAAGAACCUUACCAGGUCUUGACAUCCUUUGACCACUCUAGAGAUAGAGCUUCCCCUUCGGGGGCAAAGUGACAGGUGGUGCAUGGUUGUCGUCAGCUCGUGUCGUGAGAUGUUGGGUUAAGUCCCGCAACGAGCGCAACCCUUAUUGUUAGUUGCCAUCAUUUAGUUGGGCACUCUAGCAAGACUGCCGGUGACAAACCGGAGGAAGGUGGGGAUGACGUCAAAUCAUCAUGCCCCUUAUGACCUGGGCUACACACGUGCUACAAUGGGAAGUACAACGAGUCGCGAAGUCGCGAGGCUAAGCUAAUCUCUUAAAGCUUCUCUCAGUUCGGAUUGUAGGCUGCAACUCGCCUACAUGAAGCCGGAAUCGCUAGUAAUCGCGGAUCAGCACGCCGCGGUGAAUACGUUCCCGGGCCUUGUACACACCGCCCGUCACACCACGAGAGUUUGUAACACCCGAAGUCGGUGAGGUAACCUUUUUGGAGCCAGCCGCCUAAGGUGGGAUAGAUGAUUGGGGUGAAGUCGUAACAAGGUAACC